CGGGCCUAUAGUCUAAGUGGAUAGGACAUCAUCCUUCUAAGUUGAAAAUGAAGGUUCGAUUCCUUCUGGGCUCGA
This 75-nucleotide transfer RNA is filed under the name Pseudobryopsis hainanensis. RNAcentral describes it as "tRNA-Arg". It matches the Rfam family "tRNA". From Rfam's summary of the family: Transfer RNA (tRNA) molecules are approximately 80 nucleotides in length. The record is from RNAcentral. Lineage: Eukaryota; Viridiplantae; Chlorophyta; Ulvophyceae; Bryopsidales; Pseudobryopsidaceae.